RNAcentral lists this ribosomal RNA (257 nucleotides) under uncultured bacterium. Its description in RNAcentral is "partial 16S ribosomal RNA". It matches the Rfam family "Bacterial small subunit ribosomal RNA", at positions 524 to 776 of the family's 1533-position model. The record is from RNAcentral.
UACGAAGGGGGGCUAGCGUUGCUCGGAAUCACUGGGCGUAAAGGGUGCGUAGGCGGGUCUUUAAGUCAGGGGGUGAAAUCCUGGAGCUCAACUCCAGAACUGCCUUUGAUACUGAGGAUCUUGAGUUCGGGAGAGGUGAGUGGAACUGCGAGUGUAGAGGUGAAAAUUCGUAGAUAUUCGCAAGAACACCAGUGGCGAAGGCGGCUCACUGGCCCGAUACUGACGCUGAGGCACGAAAAGCGUGGGGAGCAAACAGG